GGUUAUAUAGCUCAGUGGUAGAGUGUGUGCUUAGCAUGCACAAGAUCCUGGGUUCAAUCCCCAGUACCUCCA
Molecule: transfer RNA, 72 nt
Filed under: Camelus bactrianus (Bactrian camel)
Lineage: Eukaryota; Metazoa; Chordata; Mammalia; Artiodactyla; Camelidae
Also listed under: 2 other names
Rfam family: tRNA
About the family: Transfer RNA (tRNA) molecules are approximately 80 nucleotides in length. Their secondary structure includes four short double-helical elements and three loops (D, anti-codon, and T loops). Further hydrogen bonds mediate the characteristic L-shaped molecular structure. tRNAs have two regions of fundamental functional importance: the anti-codon, which is responsible for specific mRNA codon recognition, and the 3' end, to which the tRNAs corresponding amino acid is attached (by aminoacyl-tRNA synthetases). tRNAs cope with the degeneracy of the genetic code in two manners: having more than one tRNA (with a specific anti-codon) for a particular amino acid; and 'wobble' base-pairing, i.e. permitting non-standard base-pairing at the 3rd anti-codon position.
Source: Rfam by way of RNAcentral